GCCUCCGUAGUUUAUGCAAAACAUUAGUCUUGUAAACUAAAGUAGGGUCUCCCGGAGGCUC
This 61-nucleotide transfer RNA is filed under the name Chaetogammarus marinus. Its description in RNAcentral is "tRNA-Thr". It matches the Rfam family "tRNA". Rfam says of the family: Transfer RNA (tRNA) molecules are approximately 80 nucleotides in length. Lineage: Eukaryota; Metazoa; Arthropoda; Malacostraca; Amphipoda; Gammaridae. The record is from RNAcentral.